RNAcentral lists this ribosomal RNA (488 nucleotides) under uncultured Glomus. Its description in RNAcentral is "SSU rRNA". It matches the Rfam family "Eukaryotic small subunit ribosomal RNA", at positions 606 to 1089 of the family's 1831-position model. Lineage: Eukaryota; Fungi; Glomeromycota; Glomeromycetes; Glomerales; Glomeraceae. The record is from RNAcentral.
AAAGUUGUUGCAGUUAAAAAGCUCGUAGUUGAAUUUCGGGAUUGACGCGACGGUCGUGCCUUAAGGGGCGUGAACUGUCGCCGUUGAUUUCUCACCUUCUGGAGAAGCUCGAUGUCCUUAAUUGGAUGUCUUGUGGAACCAGGACCUUUACCUUGAAAAAAUUAGAGUGUUUAAAGCAGGCAUUUUGCUCGAAUACAUUAGCAUGGAAUAAUAGAAUAGGACGGCAUGGUUCUAUUUUGUUGGUUUCUAGGAUCACCGUAAUGAUUAAUAGGGAUAGUUGGGGGCAUUAGUAUUCAAUUGUCAGAGGUGAAAUUCUUGGAUUUAUUGAAGACUAACUACUGCGAAAGCAUUUGCCAAGGAUGUUUUCAUUAAUCAAGAACGAAAGUUAGGGGAUCGAAGACGAUCAGAUACCGUCGUAGUCUUAACCAUAAACUAUGCCGACUAGGAAUCAGACGAUGUUAAUUUUUUAAUGACUCGUUCGGCACCUU